Pelobates cultripes (western spadefoot toad) is the source of this 284-nucleotide non-coding RNA. The record is from the annotation of a GenBank genome assembly. NCBI's taxonomy places the organism in Eukaryota, Metazoa, Chordata, Amphibia, Anura, Pelobatidae.
AAAUUAAACAUACUGUGAAAAGGUGACCCUCCUGUGCUUCGGGGCAGACAAGACAUAAACAUGAGUCUGUAAUGAAAUCUGAAGGGAUAUAACACCAUUUUCUCAUUUAAAAAAAAUCAUGCUAUUAAAGAAUGUGGUUUAUCACAAAUGAAACAUUUUCUUUAUUUCGACAGAGUAAUAGACGAUGCUGGACAAGUUUAGCAAUGACAUUACAACUUUUAGUUUUUGUCAUUUUAAUGCAGGUUUUAACAAAGUAUGUUUUCUUCAUGCAAAGUCACUUUCUC